RNAcentral lists this ribosomal RNA (484 nucleotides) under uncultured bacterium. RNAcentral's name for it is "partial 16S ribosomal RNA". It matches the Rfam family "Bacterial small subunit ribosomal RNA", at positions 30 to 507 of the family's 1533-position model. The record is from RNAcentral.
AUUGAACGCUGGCGGCAGGCCUAACACAUGCAAGUCGAGCGGAUGAAGGGAGCUUGCUCCUGGAUUCAGCGGCGGACGGGUGAGUAAUGCCUAGGAAUCUGCCUGGUAGUGGGGGAUAACGUCCGGAAACGGGCGCUAAUACCGCAUACGUCCUGAGGGAGCAAGUGGGGGAUCUUCGGACCUCACGCUAUCAGAUGAGCCUAGGUCGGAUUAGCUAGUUGGUGGGGUAAAGGCCUACCAAGGCGACGAUCCGUAACUGGUCUGAGAGGAUGAUCAGUCACACUGGAACUGAGACACGGUCCAGACUCCUACGGGAGGCAGCAGUGGGGAAUAUUGGACAAUGGGCGAAAGCCUGAUCCAGCCAUGCCGCGUGUGUGAAGAAGGUCUUCGGAUUGUAAAGCACUUUAAGUUGGGAGGAAGGGCAGUAAGUUAAUACCUUGCUGUUGUGACGUUACCAACAGAAUAAGCACCGGCUAACUUCGUG